This 482-nucleotide ribosomal RNA is filed under the name Bacilli bacterium oral taxon C43. RNAcentral describes it as "bacterial SSU rRNA". It matches the Rfam family "Bacterial small subunit ribosomal RNA", at positions 28 to 485 of the family's 1533-position model. Lineage: Bacteria; Bacillati; Bacillota; Bacilli. The record is from RNAcentral.
GACGAACGCUGGCGGCGUGCCUAAUACAUGCAAGUCGAGCGGAGUUUUUAAAAGCUUGCUUUUAAAAACUCAGCGGCGGACGGGUGAGUAACACGUGGGCAACCUGCCCUGUAGACUGGGAUAACUUCGGGAAACCGAAGCUAAUACCGGAUAAUCAUAGAAGUUGCAUAGCUUCUAUGUAAAAGUUGGGUUUACCUAACACUACAGGAUGGGCCCGCGUCGCAUUAGCUAGUUGGUAAGGUAACGGCUUACCAAGGCGACGAUGCGUAGCCGACCUGAGAGGGUGAUCGGCCACACUGGGACUGAGACACGGCCCAGACUCCUACGGGAGGCAGCAGUAGGGAAUCUUCCGCAAUGGACGAAAGUCUGACGGAGCAACGCCGCGUGAGCGAUGAAGGCCUUCGGGUCGUAAAGCUCUGUUGUUAGGGAAAGAAACAAAGUGCUAUUUCGAAUAAGGGUGGCCACCCUGGCGGACCUAAACG